CGUACAUGUGUAUCUUUCCUCCUCUUACUGCAGAGCAGCUCACCGGAUCUCAAUGAUCAAUACAAGUGUCUCAAAAUUAGUUCAAGUAUCUAGAGUAUUGUGGCAGGGUGUGGAGGUUUGUAAAAUGCUGCCCAGACUGAUUUUUGCAGUGAAUAGAUUUUGCCAUAACCUACGCAACUACGCUUUAGUCCCAAAACAUGUGCUCUUAUCGAUAAGAGUUUGGUACCUUGUUCACAUACACAUCACAUAUAGUUCUAUAUUUGUACCGGACGUAUGGCAUAAUGCUGCACCUUCCAAGCUGACAAGAAGUGCAAAACAAGCAAGAUUACAUGAUUUUUUUCUGAUUUGGCAUUUGGAGGAGAAAACUAACUAUAUUUACAGUUUGAUACUAUAUGUUGCUGAUGUAUUUCAACAGAAAAAAAAAUCUAAUUUUAAAGCUUUGAGAAGACCCAAGAAAUCGCAUGAUCAUUUUUUGAGUAGUGCUUUUAAAUGUAGAUGUGCAAAAGGUCCUAAAAUACCUACAUUUUUGCAAUUCUAUGUAUCUUGCAUGGAUAAUUGUACUGAAUAACACAGUUUGUUCUUUUCUUUUUUUUUUUUUCCUUUUUGUUUAAAUGGAGAGACAUCCCCUUCUGGAGUGGUGGUUUUAUAGCUCUAGGAUUAACACCCUUGAAUGUAGUUGAAGUAGUUCAGCACUAUUGCAAGAUGCACUAUAAGAGUAAUUGAUGUGUGGGUAUCAGCCUUUAGAGAUCUUGCAGAGUGGUUAUUUCUGGUGGUUGUAAAAUUCCUUUUACUUGAUCAUUAUGUUUAGAAUUCUGAUUUUUCAUGGGAAAUUUACAUGAGAGCUCUUGGAAAAAUAACUGCAGAUGGAUAAUAAUGCUAGUUUUGCUUGAUUAAGAAGUGCAGGACUGGGAUUUUGGGAUUUUAAGUUUUUUGGUUUUCUUUAUGAAUUUUAGAUUGUUUGGGCCAGUUCAGUCCUUUUGUAAGUAUUUGCAGUUUCCUAAGAGAGCUGUGUUUGCUUUCAGCGUGGGCAAAUUCUGUUCUUAAUUUAUAGGCUGAAACAAGUGGGUUUAGGACUAAUAAAAUUGGCAGAAUCUUACUUAACAUCAUCAUGGCAAAUUCCAAAGGGAUGUAGCCUUCUUGCAGGUUGAAUGCCACUUGGAUGACCUCUAGCUAGGUAGUAACAUUCUAGGCAUCAACUUUACAUUUGCCGCCAACCUAUAGGAUACUGGAAUGGCCCUUUCACAAGGUUUCAUUGGUCAUUUUUGUUUCCGCAGCAGAGAAACUCAUGGCUGUUUCAGCUACAAGGACAAUUGACCAGAUUAUCACAGGGUGAAUUCUGGGAUACAGAAAGUCCUAGAGUGAGGUGAACAGGCUGUAAAAAAAAGAACAUUUCCCAGUUCUGCUGCUGUGGAACUGGACAUUAGGAGAAACACAAGUUAAUAUCUUGCUCCUUGGAUAAAUGAUAGAUUGGGAGACAGCUUGUCUACUACCCACCCCUCAAAGACUCUACAUGGGACAGAGGAUUAGCCAGAUGCUUCCUGAAGAUGGUGAGAGAGGGGCUGAUUGUCACUUGGUCCCCAAGAUGAAAAGGCAAGAACAAACAAAAGGAUGACUUUUCCUGCAGAAACACUGCACUUCAGAUUCCAGUCCUGGCCAGAACCAGGACGUGAAGAGGUAAAGACAUGAAAACGUUUUUUUUCAAAACUGAGAGAGCAUUAACUUUGGAUUUGGUUUGAAUGUUGAUGGAAGGUUGAGGUCAUUUCUUGAUUGAUCCAAAUCUUCUCAGUCAGAGAUAAGUCCUA
This is a long non-coding RNA of Chelonia mydas (Green sea turtle), 1802 nucleotides long. RefSeq lists it as uncharacterized. NCBI's taxonomy places the organism in Eukaryota, Metazoa, Chordata, Testudines, Cheloniidae. The record is from RefSeq and is a predicted model, not a curated record. The transcript has 3 exons.